GAUCCUGACCUUCAACAAGAAUGGAUGAUGGUUAAGAAGGUUAACAAAAUGAGGCUCGCUGAGUA
Molecule: non-coding RNA, 65 nt
Organism: Prunus avium (sweet cherry)
Lineage: Eukaryota; Viridiplantae; Streptophyta; Magnoliopsida; Rosales; Rosaceae
Source: RefSeq, a predicted model, not a curated record